RNAcentral lists this ribosomal RNA (418 nucleotides) under Jeotgalicoccus marinus. Its description in RNAcentral is "bacterial SSU rRNA". It matches the Rfam family "Bacterial small subunit ribosomal RNA", at positions 1020 to 1437 of the family's 1533-position model. Lineage: Bacteria; Bacillati; Bacillota; Bacilli; Caryophanales; Staphylococcaceae. The record is from RNAcentral.
UUUAGGGCAGAGAGACAGGUGGUGCAUGGUUGUCGUCAGCUCGUGUCGUGAGAUGUUGGGUUAAGUCCCGCAACGAGCGCAACCCUUAAAUUUAGUUGCCAUCAUUUAGUUGGGCACUCUAGAUUGACUGCCGGUGACAAACCGGAGGAAGGUGGGGAUGACGUCAAAUCAUCAUGCCCCUUAUGAUUUGGGCUACACACGUGCUACAAUGGACAGGUUACAAAGGGCAGCGACGCCGCGAGGCCAAGCGAAUCCCAUAAAACUGUUCUCAGUUCGGAUUGGAGUCUGCAACUCGACUCCAUGAAGCUGGAAUCGCUAGUAAUCGUAGAUCAGCAUGCUACGGUGAAUACGUUCCCGGGUCUUGUACACACCGCCCGUCACACCACGAAAGUCGAUAACACCUGAAGCCGGUGGGCCA